CAGUAGCUCAGUGGUAGAGCUCUCGCUUCAUAUCGGGCAGACCUGGGUUCGAUUCCCGGCUG
Molecule: transfer RNA, 62 nt
Filed under: Toxocara canis (dog roundworm)
Lineage: Eukaryota; Metazoa; Nematoda; Chromadorea; Rhabditida; Toxocaridae
Rfam family: tRNA
About the family: Transfer RNA (tRNA) molecules are approximately 80 nucleotides in length. Their secondary structure includes four short double-helical elements and three loops (D, anti-codon, and T loops).
Source: Rfam by way of RNAcentral